CAGCCCCUCGAGUGGUGGGGAGGAUUAUUUGGCCUAAAGCGUCCGUAGCCGGCCGAGCAAGUCGUCCGUUAAAUCCAGCGUCUCAAGCGUUGGACCGCGGGAGAUACUACACGGCUAGAGAGUGGGAGAGGUCAGCGGUAUUCUGGGGGUAGGGGCGAAAUCCUUUGAUCCCCGGAGGACCACCAGUGGCGAAGGCUGCUGACUAGAACACGUCUGACGGUCAGGGACGAAAGCUGGGGUAGCGAACCGGAUUAGAUACCCGAGUAGUCC
Molecule: ribosomal RNA, 270 nt
Filed under: uncultured archaeon
Lineage: Archaea
Description: partial 16S ribosomal RNA
Rfam family: Archaeal small subunit ribosomal RNA
Source: RNAcentral